Molecule: ribosomal RNA, 468 nt
Filed under: uncultured bacterium
Lineage: Bacteria
Description: partial 16S ribosomal RNA
Rfam family: Bacterial small subunit ribosomal RNA
Source: RNAcentral
GAUGAACGCUGGCGGCGUGCUUAACACAUGCAAGUCGAACGGAAAGGCCCAAGCUUGCUUGGGUACUCGAGUGGCGAACGGGUGAGUAACACGUGGGUGAUCUGCCCUGCACUUCGGGAUAAGCCUGGGAAACUGGGUCUAAUACCGGAUAGGACGAUGGUUUGGAUGCCAUUGUGGAAAGUUUUUUCGGUGUGGGAUGAGCUCGCGGCCUAUCAGCUUGUUGGUGGGGUAAUGGCCUACCAAGGCGUCGACGGGUAGCCGGCCUGAGAGGGUGUACGGCCACAUUGGGACUGAGAUACGGCCCAGACUCCUACGGGAGGCAGCAGUGGGGAAUAUUGCACAAUGGGCGCAAGCCUGAUGCAGCGACGCCGCGUGGGGGAUGAAGGCAUUCGGGUUGUAAACUCCUUUCGCUAGGGACGAAGCGUUUUUGUGACGGUACCUGGAGAAGAAGCACCGGCUAACUACGUG